GCGGGCGUGGUUUAGUGGCAAAAUGACUGCCUUCCAAGCAGUAGUCGGGGGUUCGAUUCCCCCCGCCCGCACCA
This 74-nucleotide transfer RNA is filed under the name Patescibacteria group bacterium. RNAcentral describes it as "tRNA-Gly". It matches the Rfam family "tRNA". From Rfam's summary of the family: Transfer RNA (tRNA) molecules are approximately 80 nucleotides in length. Their secondary structure includes four short double-helical elements and three loops (D, anti-codon, and T loops). Further hydrogen bonds mediate the characteristic L-shaped molecular structure. tRNAs have two regions of fundamental functional importance: the anti-codon, which is responsible for specific mRNA codon recognition, and the 3' end, to which the tRNAs corresponding amino acid is attached (by aminoacyl-tRNA synthetases). tRNAs cope with the degeneracy of the genetic code in two manners: having more than one tRNA (with a specific anti-codon) for a particular amino acid; and 'wobble' base-pairing, i.e. permitting non-standard base-pairing at the 3rd anti-codon position. The record is from RNAcentral.